UGGGGAAUUUUCCGCAAUGGGGGCAACCCUGACGGAGCAACGCCGCGUGGGGGAGGAAGGUCUGUGGAUUGUAAACCCCUUUUCUCAGGGAAGAAGCUCUGACGGUACCUGAGGAAUCAGCAUCGGCUAACUCCGUGCCAGCAGCCGCGGUAAGACGGAGGAUGCAAGCGUUAUCCGGAAUUAUUGGGCGUAAAGCGUCCGUAGGUGGUUGUUCAAGUCUGCUGUCAAAGCGUGGGGCUCAACUCCAUAGAGGCAGUGGAAACUGUGUAACUAGAGUGCGGUAGGGGUCGAGGGAAUUCCCAGUGUAGCGGUGAAAUGCGUAGAUAUUGGGAAGAACACCAGUGGCGAAAGCGCUCGACUGGGCCUGCACUGACACUGAGGGACGAAAGCUAGGGGAGCGAAAGGGAUUAGAUACCCCCGUAGUCC
Molecule: ribosomal RNA, 426 nt
Filed under: uncultured prokaryote
Description: bacterial SSU rRNA
Rfam family: Bacterial small subunit ribosomal RNA
Source: RNAcentral